This 351-nucleotide ribosomal RNA is filed under the name Citrobacter sp. wls717. RNAcentral's name for it is "partial 23S ribosomal RNA". It matches the Rfam family "Bacterial large subunit ribosomal RNA", at positions 2598 to 2925 of the family's 2925-position model. Lineage: Bacteria; Pseudomonadati; Pseudomonadota; Gammaproteobacteria; Enterobacterales; Enterobacteriaceae. The record is from RNAcentral.
ACGCGAGCUGGGUUUAGAACGUCGUGAGACAGUUCGGUCCCUAUCUGCCGUGGGCGCUGGAGAAUUGAGGGGGGCUGCUCCUAGUACGAGAGGACCGGAGUGGACGCAUCACUGGUGUUCGGGUUGUCAUGCCAAUGGCACUGCCCGGUAGCUAAAUGCGGAAGAGAUAAGUGCUGAAAGCAUCUAAGCACGAAACUUGCCCCGAGAUGAGUUCUCCCUGAGACUUAGAGUCUCCUGAAGGAACGUUGAAGACGACGACGUUGAUAGGUCGGGUGUGUAAGUGUAGCGAUACAUUGAGCUAACCGAUACUAAUGAACCGUGAGGCUUAACCUUACAACGCCGAAGGUGUUU